UACGUAGGGGGCAAGCGUUAUCCGGAUUUACUGGGUGUAAAGGGAGCGUAGGCGGCUUAGUAAGUCAGAAGUGAAAGCCCGCAGCUCAACUGCGGGACUGCUUUUGAAACUGCCAGGCUAGAGUGUCGGAGAGGUAUGCGGAAUGCGCAGUGUAGCGGUGAAAUGCUUAGAUAUUGCGCAGAACUCCGAUUGCGAAGGCAGCAUACCGGCGGCGAUCUGACGCUGAGGCACGAAAGCGUGGGUAUCGAACAGG
RNAcentral lists this ribosomal RNA (253 nucleotides) under uncultured bacterium. RNAcentral's name for it is "partial 16S ribosomal RNA". It matches the Rfam family "Bacterial small subunit ribosomal RNA", at positions 524 to 776 of the family's 1533-position model. The record is from RNAcentral.